Molecule: ribosomal RNA, 464 nt
Filed under: uncultured bacterium
Lineage: Bacteria
Description: partial 16S ribosomal RNA
Rfam family: Bacterial small subunit ribosomal RNA
Source: RNAcentral
CUACGGGGCGCACCAGUGGGGAAUAUUGCACAAUGGGCGCAAGCCUGAUGCAGCCAUGCCGCGUGUAUGAAGAAGGCCUUCGGGUUGUAAAGUACUUUCAGCGGGGAGGAAGGGAGUAAAGUUAAUACCUUUGCUCAUUGACGUUACCCGCAGAAGAAGCACCGGCUAACUCCGUGCCAGCAGCCGCGGUAAUACGGAGGGUGCAAGCGUUAAUCGGAAUUACUGGGCGUAAAGCGCACGCAGGCGGUUUGUUAAGUCAGAUGUGAAAUCCCCGGGCUCAACCUGGGAACUGCAGCUGAUACUGGCGAGCUAGAGACUCGUAGAGGGGGGUAGAAUUCCAGGUGUAGCGGUGAAAUGCGUAGAGAUCUGGAGGAAUACCGGUGGCGAAGGCGGCCCCCUGGACGAAGACUGACGCUCAGGUGCGAAAGCGUGGGGAGCAAACAGGAUUAGAUACCCUAGUAGUC